CACCACUCAAGCCCGGCUUGGUAUUGGGCGGCGGGGCUCCCCCGCGCCUUAAUUUCACCGGCUGGACGACCCGUAUCUCAGCGUUGUGGCAUCAAAUUCGCUGGCGAGAAGGGUGGCCCGCGCCGUUAAAAUUUCAAUCAA
This 141-nucleotide unclassified non-coding RNA is filed under the name uncultured fungus. RNAcentral's name for it is "sequence contains ITS2". The record is from RNAcentral. Lineage: Eukaryota; Fungi.